GUCCUUUUGAUUAUAAUUUAAGGUCUAACCUGCCCACUGAAGUUUUAAAUGGCCGUGGUAUUUUGACCGUGCUAAGGUAGCAUAAUCAUUAGUUUUUUAAUUAAGAACUGGAAUGAAAGGUUGGAUAAAAAAAUAACUGUCUCUGUUAAAUUUAAUUAAAAUUUUAUUUUUAAGUAAAAAAGCUUAAGUUUAUUUAAAAGACGAGAAGACCCUAUAGAGUUUUAUUAUUUAAUAAAAAUUAUAUUUUAGUAUUUAUUUAUUUAUUUUAUUUAAUAAUUUAAUUGGGGUGAUUGAAAAAUUUAAUAAACUUUUUUUAUUUAAUAACAUUAAUUAAUGAUAAAAUGAUCCAAUAUUUUUGAUUAUAAGAUAAAAUUACCUUAGGGAUAACAGCGUAAUUUUUUUAUAAAGUUCAUAUUAAAAGAAAAGAUUGCGA
This 433-nucleotide ribosomal RNA is filed under the name Chrysolina polita. RNAcentral's name for it is "partial 16S large subunit ribosomal RNA". The record is from RNAcentral. Lineage: Eukaryota; Metazoa; Arthropoda; Insecta; Coleoptera; Chrysomelidae.